UUCAAAAAUGAAAAUGAAAGAAUUUGUGAGUUUCACUCCUCCUUGCCAAGAAUAAUUCAGAUACUUUCAUUGAAAAGCAGGUACAAACUCACAUGAGCAAACAGCACCAGGGACUAAGAUAUAUUCUCAUAAGAGAGAAACAACAACAACAUGAACCCAAUUGGUAAGUUUCAACUGUGGAGAGAACAGGUUAAGAAAGAUUUGGAAAGAAUCACUGGAAUACAAGAGCACAGCUAUGAGCAGGGAGAUCUGCUGCUAAGAGAAACAGAUUAUGGGGCUUAUCAUGCUGGCGUUUAUUGUGGGAAUAAUGAAGUCAUCGACUUUACAGGUUCCGAAAGGAAAAUGCAAAGUGUCUUAAAAUCAGAUGUACAUGAAUUUGGCACUGUUUCGAAAAAAAGCCUGAAGCACUUUAAGCUUGGAAAGAAAGUUGAAGUGUAUCGCCUCAGAGCACAGGAAAAAUUUCCAAAAUGUUUUUCUAAAAAUGUAGAGGAAGCAAUGGAUAAGUUUGUUAAAUAUCAUGUAUUGAAGUUCAACUGCCUUCAUUUUGCCCUUUGUGUUCUGGGGCUAUUAGACUGGCAGGAUGAA
Molecule: long non-coding RNA, 585 nt
Organism: Carassius carassius (crucian carp)
Lineage: Eukaryota; Metazoa; Chordata; Actinopteri; Cypriniformes; Cyprinidae
Exons: 4
Source: RefSeq, a predicted model, not a curated record